CACUCCUCACCUAUAGGCCCAUCUCUCCUCCUGAUGCUGCCCUCCAGCCUCCACCCAAGAUCCGCCUGGUCGCCGCUCCGUCUAGCCAGCCGGGAGGUGCGUGCAGGCUACACCAUGAAUCAGGAGAGCCGCGUGCCAUCGUCUCCUUAUGGAUCUUCCUCGGCUCCGGCUCUGUCCCUAGCCUCCAAGGCCGGAUACAUGGUGGUCGCCUUCCCGUGGUCCAAGGUGGCAGGCCUGCAGUUGGCGCUGGAUAGCUCGCUGCCCUGCUGCUCUCCAUCCUAAUCGACUCCCCUCGGUCUUCCCCAACUUCGGCCCCGACAACAGGCCCCCUUCAUCUGCCUUUCCUCUCCUCUAGGGUGCGUGGUUUCCUUGUACGAGUAGAUGAGUUAUUUGUACUAGAAUUUCAUCAGAUCUAAAGUUGGGUGCAUAUGCUACAAAUUGUUAAUCUAAGAAAAUAUUCAGGCACUACGUGAAUGUCUGUGCUAAGGACACAAAUUUGGGGAUCCUUGCGUGAAUGUGCAAGGAAUUCAGAAUCUACAUCUUUAAUAUGACAUGGUAUUUUUGUUCUUAAUCUCUCCAUUACGUUGUGUUCCAUUUUUCUCAAUGGAAGUAAUUGUGGUUUAAUUUCACAUGAUUUUUAAACAAAUAAACACAUGAUGUGCUGAAUAGCUGACAUACAGAGAAAAUGGUACAGCUUGAUGACUAUUGUAGUACUAAAUUAUUCUCAGGUAUUUAUUGUUCAUUUUGUGAUAGUUUUCUCUCUCCUAAAAGUAAAACGAAUCAUUUUUAAUUCUUUGAACAAGUUUGCCUAAAGUAGGGCGCUCAGCCAUUGAGGCAUUAUCAAUUUCUUUUAGAAGCUUCGCAAAAUCUGCUCUUGUACUAAAGAAAUCUAAUGUAGAUUUGUUAGCCUCAUAGGGUACUAUAUGCUGAACACAUGAUAUUAAACAUAGAGUAAAUUGCACUAUGAAGUGAGUAUGUAUGUAGUAUCCACACAGGAUUGCCAUUUUUGGAGCUAUUGCUGGGAUCAUCAUGGAUUGGGAUGCAUUCUGAUAAUAAGAUAUUAGGUAUUGAUAUGUGAUAUGUAUGCCACACUUGACUUCAUCAUCCUUUGUUUUCAGAUGUAUUCUUUAGGCACACAUUAAUGUGGUAGCUUGGUCAUAUUCUGUACCUAAUUUAGUCACCACAAUACUCGGGUUUUUUCCCCGAAUCUCACUAUAAAGAACUUCCACUUGCCAUCUCUAUAUGGAUUUUCUUUUUGCUACUGAUUUUGGCUAAAGGUUUUUCUGCUCUCAUCUCUAUAUGGAUAUGCUUUUUUUCAGGUUAGUAGUUUAGGAGUUCCUGCCAACACUGGUUUUUGGAAGUUAUACUCACUUCACCAGUUGGGCUUAACAAGGACAUAAUUAAUUCUCUGUUGGUAAUUAGAAGGAAAAAAAAUCUGGUUGGAGAAAACAUCUCUUUUGCUUAAUUGUUUGCUUCAUAAUUUUAGUAAUAUUUUUUUUCAUUUUUUUAGGUUAGUAGUAUGGGAGUACCUGU
RNAcentral lists this long non-coding RNA (1533 nucleotides) under Triticum aestivum (bread wheat). Its description in RNAcentral is "long non-coding RNA (TAES_LNC026715)". The record is from RNAcentral. Lineage: Eukaryota; Viridiplantae; Streptophyta; Magnoliopsida; Poales; Poaceae.